This 433-nucleotide ribosomal RNA is filed under the name uncultured bacterium. Its description in RNAcentral is "partial 16S ribosomal RNA". It matches the Rfam family "Bacterial small subunit ribosomal RNA", at positions 29 to 507 of the family's 1533-position model. The record is from RNAcentral.
AACGAACGCUGGCGGCAUGCCUAACACAUGCAAGUCGAACGAGACCUCCGGGUUUUGUGGCGCAGGGGUGCGUGACGCGGGGGAACCUGCCCUUAGGUUCGCAAUACCUCCCCGUAAGGUGUGCUAAUACCGGAUAAUCUCUUCCGACCAAAGAUUUGUGGCGUUUGGGUGGGCCUGGGUUGGAUUCGUUAGUUGGUAGGGGAAAAGCCUCGCAAGGCGAGGAUGCUUAGCUGGUCUGAGAGGAUGAUCCGCCACACUGGGACUAAGACACGGCCCAGAAUCGUACGGGAGGGAGCAGAGGGGAAUAUAGGACGAUGGGGGAAGGCCUGAUCCAGCAAGGCCGGGGAAGUGAUGAAGGCCGUAGGGAUGUGAAGCUCUUUUACCCGGGGUGUUAAUGACGGUACCGGGAGAAUAAGCACCGGCUAACUACGUG